RNAcentral lists this ribosomal RNA (489 nucleotides) under uncultured bacterium. RNAcentral's name for it is "bacterial SSU rRNA". It matches the Rfam family "Bacterial small subunit ribosomal RNA", at positions 31 to 507 of the family's 1533-position model. The record is from RNAcentral.
GAACGCUAGCGGCAGGCUUAACACAUGCAAGUCGAGGGGCAGCAUGAGAUGGAGAUUCGUCGAAGUCUUGAUGGCGACCGGCGCAAGGGUGCGUAACGCGUGAGCAACUUGCCCGUUUCUGGGGAAUAACCGGUGGAAACGCCGACUAAUACCCCAUAGUAUUGAGUUUAGGCAUCUUUACUCAAUUAAAGAAUUUCGGAAACGGAUAAGCUCGCGUGACAUUAGCUUGAUGGCGGGGUAACGGCCCACCAUGGCGACGAUGUCUAGGGGUUCUGAGAGGAAGGUCCCCCACACUGGAACUGAGACACGGUCCAGACUCCUACGGGAGGCAGCAGUGAGGAAUAUUGGUCAAUGGUCUGACGACUGAACCAGCCAUGCCGCGUGAAGGUCACGGCCCUAUGGGUCUUAAACUUCUUUUGUAAGGGAGCAAUAAGUCUCACGUGUGGGAUGAUGAGAGUACCUUACGAAUAAGCAUCGGCUAACUCCGUG